UGACGAGCGGCGGACGGGUGAGUAAUGUCUGGGAAACUGCCUGAUGGAGGGGGAUAACUACUGGAAACGGUAGCUAAUACCGCAUAACGUCUUCGGACCAAAGAGGGGGACCUUCGGGCCUCUUGCCAUCAGAUGUGCCCAGAUGGGAUUAGCUAGUAGGUGGGGUAAUGGCUCACCUAGGCGACGAUCCCUAGCUGGUCUGAGAGGAUGACCAGCCACACUGGAACUGAGACACGGUCCAGACUCCUACGGGAGGCAGCAGUGGGGAAUAUUGCACAAUGGGCGCAAGCCUGAUGCAGCCAUGCCGCGUGUAUGAAGAAGGCCUUCGGGUUGUAAAGUACUUUCAGCGAGGAGGAAGGCAUUGUGGUUAAUAACCACAGUGAUUGACGUUACUCGCAGAAGAAGCACCGGCUAACUCCGUGCCAGCAGCCGCGGUAAUACGGAGGGUGCAAGCGUUAAUCGGAAUUACUGGGCGUAAAGCGCACGCAGGCGGUCUGUCAAGUCGGAUGUGAAAUCCCCGGGCUCAACCUGGGAACUGCAUUCGAAACUGGCAGGCUAGAGUCUUGUAGAGGGGGGUAGAAUUCCAGGUGUAGCGGUGAAAUGCGUAGAGAUCUGGAGGAAUACCGGUGGCGAAGGCGGCCCCCUGGACAAAGACUGACGCUCAG
This 665-nucleotide ribosomal RNA is filed under the name Enterobacter sp. Its description in RNAcentral is "bacterial SSU rRNA". It matches the Rfam family "Bacterial small subunit ribosomal RNA", at positions 89 to 750 of the family's 1533-position model. RNAcentral also lists the same sequence under 1 other name. The record is from RNAcentral. Lineage: Bacteria; Pseudomonadati; Pseudomonadota; Gammaproteobacteria; Enterobacterales; Enterobacteriaceae.